Molecule: ribosomal RNA, 978 nt
Filed under: Bufo tibetanus (Tibetan toad)
Lineage: Eukaryota; Metazoa; Chordata; Amphibia; Anura; Bufonidae
Description: partial large subunit ribosomal RNA
Rfam family: Bacterial large subunit ribosomal RNA
Source: RNAcentral
AUCACUUGGCUUUCAACGUAAUUCAAAUAAGGUACAGCCUAUUUGAAACAGGAUACAACCUAGACCAAUGGAUAGGAUCCGCCUAGCAUACAAUCAAGUGGGCCUAAAAGCAGCCACCUUAAGUAAAGCGUCAAAGCUAAGUUGUAGUCGCGCCAAAUUUCUUAAUCUUCAUCUAAUCCUCAACCAAUACUGAGUAAUUCUAUAGUAUUAUAGAAAUUUUUAUGUUAAAACUAGUAACAAGAAGAAGACACUUCUCUUAAAUGUGUGUGUAAAUCAGAAAAGACAAGCUACUGAUACUUAACACCCUUGAGCUUAAAGUAGCAACCAACCAAGAAAACCCUACUUUCAUUAGUGUUAACCUAACACAAGAACAUUCCGAGAAAGAUUUAAAGAAAAAGAAGGAACUCGGCAAAUAUUAACCUCGCCUGUUUACCAAAAACAUCGCCUCUUGAAUCAUUAUAAGAGGUCCAGCCUGCCCAGUGACCCUGUUCAACGGCCGCGGUAUCCUAACCGUGCGAAGGUAGCGUAAUCACUUGUUCUCUAAAUGUGGACUAGUAUGAAUGGCAUCACGAAGGUUAUACUGUCUCCUUUUUCUAAUCAGUGAAACUAAUCUCCCCGUGAAGAAGCGGGGAUAAAACUAUAAGACGAGAAGACCCUAUGGAGCUUUAAACAAUGCAGCAUCUGCCCCCAUAACACUAAAAUUUCCGAAUUUAAAAUCCCUGGACAGUGUGACUGCAAGUUUUUGGUUGGGGUGACCACGGAGCAUAGUACAACCUCCAUGCUGAAAGAAUCUUUCUAAGCUAAGAACCACAAAUCCAAGCAUCAAUAAAUUGACAUCCAUUGACCCAAUAUACUUGAACAACGAACCAAGUUACCCUAGGGAUAACAGCGCAAUCCACUUCAAAAGCUCCUAUCGACAAGUGGGUUUACGACCUCGAUGUUGGAUCAGGGUCUCCCAGUGGUGCAGCCGCUACUAAA